GCUGGAAUGAUCGAACGGGCUGGACCGACGGUUUCACAAGAAUUACAGGCCGUCCGACCCCGUACACGUCGUGUUUGCCCGUGGUCGCUGGGUCCGUCGGCAAGGUCGGACGGCCUCCCCACCGGCGACGGCGACCUCCCUUCUCGUCGGUGACAAUCCGAUUCGAGCCCUGGUUCGCAGGCAGCGAGAUCUUUCCUUCGAGCCCCCCCGCCCCCCCUCCCCCUCCUCGCACUGGCCAAGUCAAUUCGAAAUUCAUGGAGGGUCGAGGGGGAUCGCCUCCGUCUUCCGAGUCCGGCUGACGCCGGCGUCCAGCGUCCAGUGGUAGGUGACGUAUCCGUCAACAACGAGGCGUCUGCGGUGAUUUCGUCGAUCUCUCAAGAACUGCCGGCUCAAUGUCUUGGAGGUACUCAGGGUUUAGCGUGUGCGUGUGUGCGUCUGUGAGUGUAUGCGCGUGUAUGAGCGUCUGCGUUUCUCAUGUUUCACCGAUGUUUUUGAAAGAAAAAAUGUCAGCGAUGAGCGACCAAGGCCAAGGGCGGGAACUCGGCGCUCCGGAGAUUGGGCAAUUAACAAAUACGGAGUAGAUAAAACGUCUUGGUUUUCAGAGCAGAGAGACGUCAUGAGCAAAAUGCAUUUUCACGUAUGAUCUUAAGAGAUUUCGUACUCAAUUUUCCAGCCUGAUAUCGGAGUAGAGUUUUCUUAAGAAGAGAGGGGCCGGAGAAGUCUUGAUAUUGACCAGACGACUUUCGGUCAGACAUGGCGGCAUGCUGGCCAAAAUUAAUCGAAGAGAGGGGGAUCGAGGGUCAGACGUCGCUUGCAGGUGCAGCCUCUUAGUUUGAUGUAACACCGUGAGCUUUUGUGUUCCCAAUUAAUUAAAGUGGAACUGUAAUACAUGCUUCCUCUUAGUCUGAGGUAAACAGCGUGGGCUUCAAUUAGCCCUGCGAAACACGAACCGAACAAAUACAUGUGCAGUUGCAUCACGUGUUCCUAACGUCUUGUCUGGUGUUAGUGUA
This is a long non-coding RNA of Brachypodium distachyon (stiff brome), 1010 nucleotides long. RefSeq lists it as uncharacterized. NCBI's taxonomy places the organism in Eukaryota, Viridiplantae, Streptophyta, Magnoliopsida, Poales, Poaceae. The transcript is spliced from 2 exons. The record is from RefSeq and is a predicted model, not a curated record.